Molecule: unclassified non-coding RNA, 1341 nt
Filed under: Hevea brasiliensis (rubber tree)
Lineage: Eukaryota; Viridiplantae; Streptophyta; Magnoliopsida; Malpighiales; Euphorbiaceae
Source: RNAcentral
GUUAGCAGUAAGGUGUAAUGUAAUAAUAUAAUUAUUCCUGCUUUUCAUAAUGAUGUGCAGUUUUACAGUUUUGGGAUGUCAUUGAAGUUUUGAUACCCUUUCUAUAAUCUAUAGUAAUAUCCCCCACCAAAACUUCAGUUACAUGUAAAGAAGAGAUUUAAUUUUCUUUUUUAAUGCAUGUGAAUGCACUUAUUGCAAGUUUCUAAACUACUGUGUUUAUACUAACAAGUAAGAUCUAGAAAUAGUGUAACUGUCUUUGUUUCACUUGUCGAUGCAUUGGGAAAAACAAUCCUUUGCUGGUAGUAAAGGUUCUAUGCAUACUUUAAUUCAAGAAGUCUUCUAAAAUUUUCAGCAAAUCCACUCUAUCUAUUCAGUUGGCUCUGAUACCUGAAAGCCUGUUUAUUUAGGCAUCAUUUGUAGUUUAUAGGUGAUUCUAGUGCUUAUGUGUCUCAUAAAGGGUAUCUACAAGUGAUCACAAUAUACAAGUACCAAUUAUGAGGUUUUGGUUCAUGUCAAGACAAAUUGAAGAGAUUAAAUGAAAAGAAAGAAUAUAUUUCCGUGCACAAUAUUCUCACUGGCAGUUCUUCCAACUGGUGUUCUACAUUGUGGUUAGUGGUUACCAUCAGCUUUUGUGUGAAACAAAUUAGUAAGAGAGACAUGAGUAGGUGUGAGAAUAUCUGCAUGUAGUUUUUACCCUGAAAGGUACUGAGGAUCAGCUGUGUAAGGAAUUGUCAUUCUAUGCAAACUCAUACGUACUUAAAUACAGCUCUGUUGAAAAUGAGCAAUUUUAUUUACAACAUUUUGAAGUCACCUAGACAAUUGAUUGUGAAAAUUUUUAAUUUGUCUGUGCAAAUCUGGUUUCCUGAUUCUUAAUCAAUAAAAGAGUUUAAUGCUCAUGGUUGGUGAUGUCUUCAGUUAUAAUCAUGUGGUGCUCCCCAACCUCCCUUUCUUGAAAGGUUUUUGUUAGGCUGAAUUUUUCCAUUCUUCUUGGUAUUAGUAGAUCAUGUCGUAUAUGAUUGUUUUUAAAAUGAGUUGUUUAAUUGGUUGGUCUGCUGAUAUAUUAAUUGUGUUAUUGUUGAGAUUUUUGCGCUUUGAUGUUCUAUUUGAAUUAUUUCCUCGUUAUUUUGACAUGAAGUUAAACCAAUCACAUGACUACCAUUUCGUAACAACCAUUGUGACAUGGGCCUGCCAUUAACUCAAAUCCUUAACAUCCAAUGUUGUUAGAUGCACAUGGACACACAUAUUUGUGUAAGGUGAAAGGAGGAUUCAAUAAUCUUAUCCAAAUUGUGCACUUUUACCAUGGCAAGUUAACAUUUAUGAAAUGAAUGAAAUAUAAAAGAA